GAUGAACGCUGACAGAAUGCUUAACACAUGCAAGUCUACUUGAUUCUACUUCGGUAGUUGAUGGUGGCGGACGGGUGAGUAACGCGUAAAGAAUCUGCCCUUUAGUUUGGGAUAACCUUUGGAAACGAAGGCUAAUACCGGAUAUUAUGGAGACGUCGCAUGACGACUCCAUGAAAGCUAUAUGCGCUAGAGGAGGACUUUGCGUCCCAUUAGUUAGUUGGUGAGGUAAUGGCUCACCAAGACCGCGAUGGGUAGCCGGCCUGAGAGGGUGAUCGGCCACAAGGGAACUGAGACACGGUCCUUACUCCUACGGGAGGCAGCAGUGGGGAAUAUUGGACAAUGGGCCACAAGCCUGAUCCAGCAAUUCUGUGUGCACGAUGAAGGUCUUCGGAUUGUAAAGUGCUUUCAGUAGGGAAGAAAAAAAUGACGGUACCUACAGAAGAAGCGACGGCUAAAUAUGUGCCAGCAGCAGCCGCGG
RNAcentral lists this ribosomal RNA (478 nucleotides) under uncultured bacterium. RNAcentral describes it as "partial 16S ribosomal RNA". It matches the Rfam family "Bacterial small subunit ribosomal RNA", at positions 28 to 523 of the family's 1533-position model. The record is from RNAcentral.